Neomonachus schauinslandi (Hawaiian monk seal) is the source of this 336-nucleotide long non-coding RNA. RefSeq lists it as uncharacterized. NCBI's taxonomy places the organism in Eukaryota, Metazoa, Chordata, Mammalia, Carnivora, Phocidae. The transcript has 3 exons. The record is from RefSeq and is a predicted model, not a curated record.
CUUGCUCUUCCUGUGUCUACAGGGAUACUGGCUUUAAACGGGCUCAGAACCCUUCCCUGCUGCACGCAGGCUACGCUGGCAUACCUGGCAGAGGAACAGCAGACAAAAGCCUCUGAGCCUGGGACUAACCACGGCCUCUGAUCUCAGCGGGAGCUCCAGCACGGAGACCUGAAGAGAUAAUGCUGGAUCUUCUGGGACCCUUUCCUCUCUUCCUGUUGCUGCUGGGAUCAUCGGGGCCAGGACUUGCCCCUGGUGCUUGGGCUCAACUCACUGGGUUUCAAAAGUUUAUAAUUCGGCAUAUGAGUGUAGGUCCUGUACGAUGCAACAAUGCAAUGC